This 521-nucleotide ribosomal RNA is filed under the name uncultured bacterium. RNAcentral describes it as "bacterial SSU rRNA". It matches the Rfam family "Bacterial small subunit ribosomal RNA", at positions 777 to 1297 of the family's 1533-position model. The record is from RNAcentral.
AAUAGAUACCCGGGUAGUCCACGCCGUAAACGAUGAGUGCUAAGUGUUAGAGGGUUUCCGCCCUUUAGUGCUGCAGCUAACGCAUUAAGCACUCCGCCUGGGGAGUACGGCCGCAAGGCUGAAACUCAAAGGAAUUGACGGGGGCCCGCACAGCGGUGGAGCAUGUGGUUUAAUUCGAAGCAACGCGAAGAACCUUACCAGGUCUUGACAUCCUCUGCCAACCCUAGAGAUAGGGCGUUCCCCUUCGGGGGACAGAGUGACAGGUGGUGCAUGGUUGUCGUCAGCUCGUGUCGUGAGAUGUUGGGUUAAGUCCCGCAACGAGCGCAACCCUUGAUCUUAGUUGCCAGCAUUCAGUUGGGCACUCUAAGGUGACUGCCGGUGACAAACCGGAGGAAGGUGGGGAUGACGUCAAAUCAUCAUGCCCCUUAUGACCUGGGCUACACACGUGCUACAAUGGAUGGUACAAAGAGCUGCAAACCCGCGAGGGUAAGCGAAUCUCAUAAAGCCAUUCUCAGUUCGGA